This 211-nucleotide long non-coding RNA is filed under the name Musa acuminata (dwarf banana). Its description in RNAcentral is "long non-coding RNA (MACU_LNC010239)". The record is from RNAcentral. Lineage: Eukaryota; Viridiplantae; Streptophyta; Magnoliopsida; Zingiberales; Musaceae.
CACUCUCUGUAAAGUAUUCUUUGUCGUUUCUCUUCCAGUGCCCCCAUCUUUGCCGUAGUAGAAGCACUGGCCUUUGUUCUUUGCUGGGUCCUUUUUAGCAAUCUUUGCUUUACCCGAUCUGCCCUUGCCCUUGCCCUUCUUAAGGGACUUUUUUUUUCUUUCUUUUUUUUCUAGUCAAUUAGCUUUUCUUUCUUGAUAGUGCUCUCUACCU